Molecule: ribosomal RNA, 351 nt
Filed under: uncultured bacterium
Lineage: Bacteria
Description: bacterial SSU rRNA
Rfam family: Bacterial small subunit ribosomal RNA
Source: RNAcentral
GACGAACGCUGGCGGCGUGCUUAACACAUGCAAGUCGAACGGUGAACCGGGCUUCGGCCCGGGAUCAGUGGCGAACGGGUGCGUAACACGUGGGCAACCUGCCCCAGACACUGGGAUAACCCCGGGAAACCGGGGCGUAUACCGGAUACUCUCGACCGACCUCAUGAUCGGCCGAGGAAAGCUCCGGCGGGUCUGGGAGUGGGCCCGCGGCCUAUCAGCUUGUUGGUGGGGUAACGGCCUACCAAGGCGACGACGGGUAGGCUGGUCUGAGAGGACGGCCGACGCCACACUGGAACGUGAGACACGGUCCAGACUCCUACGGGAGGGCAGCAGUGGGGAAGUAUUGCGCAA